GCCUGCUUGGUGAAAUGGUAGACACAACAGAUUUAAAAUCUGUCGAGGGUAACCUCGUGCCAGUUCGAGUCUGGCAGCGGGCACCA
Molecule: transfer RNA, 86 nt
Filed under: Candidatus Pelagibacter sp.
Lineage: Bacteria; Pseudomonadati; Pseudomonadota; Alphaproteobacteria; Candidatus Pelagibacterales; Candidatus Pelagibacteraceae
Also listed under: 1 other name
Description: tRNA-Leu
Rfam family: tRNA
About the family: Transfer RNA (tRNA) molecules are approximately 80 nucleotides in length. Their secondary structure includes four short double-helical elements and three loops (D, anti-codon, and T loops).
Source: RNAcentral